GACGAACGCUGGCGGCGUGCCUAAUACAUGCAAGUAGAACGCUGAAGGAGGAGCUUGCUUCUCUGGAUGAGUUGCGAACGGGUGAGUAACGCGUAGGUAACCUGCCUGGUAGCGGGGGAUAACUAUUGGAAACGAUAGCUAAUACCGCAUAAGAGUAGAUGUCGCAUGACAUUUGCUUAAAAGGUGCAAUUGCAUCACUACCAGAUGGACCUGCGUUGUAUUAGCUAGUUGGUGAGGUAACGGCUCACCAAGGCAACGAUACAUAACCGACCUGAGAGGGUGAUCGGCCACACUGGGACUGAGACACGGCCCAGACUCCUACGGGAGGCAGCAGUAGGGAAUCUUCGGCAAUGGACGGAAGUCUGACCGAGCAACGCCGCGUGAGUGAAGAAGGGUUUCGGAUCGUAAAGCUCUGUUGUAAGAGAAGAACGAGUGUGAGAGUGGAAAGUUCACACUGUGACGGUAUCUUACCAGAAAGGGACGGCUAACUACGUG
RNAcentral lists this ribosomal RNA (495 nucleotides) under uncultured bacterium. RNAcentral's name for it is "partial 16S ribosomal RNA". It matches the Rfam family "Bacterial small subunit ribosomal RNA", at positions 28 to 507 of the family's 1533-position model. The record is from RNAcentral.